AGAGUUUGAUCCUGGCUCAGGAUGAACGCUGGCGGCGUGCUUAACACAUGCAAGUCGAACGAACCUUCGGGUUAGUGGCGGACGGGUGAGUAACGCGUGAGAAUCUGCCCUCAGGAGGGGGAUAACGGUUGGAAACGACCGCUAAUACCCCAUAUGCCGAAAGGUGAAAUGAAUUUCGCCUGAGGAUGAGCUCGCGUCUGAUUAGCUAGUUGGUGAGGUAAUGGCUCACCAAGGCUUCGAUCAGUAGCUGGUCUGAGAGGAUGAUCAGCCACACUGGGACUGAGACACGGCCCAGACUCCUACGGGAGGCAGCAGUGGGGAAUUUUCCGCAAUGGGCGAAAGCCUGACGGAGCAACGCCGCGUGAGGGACGAAGGCCUCUGGGCUGUAAACCUCUUUUCUCAAGGAAGAAGAUAUGACGGUACUUGAGGAAUAAGCCACGGCUAAUUCCGUGCCAGCAGCCGCGGUAAUACGGGAGUGGCAAGCGUUAUCCGGAAUUAUUGGGCGUAAAGCGUCCGCAGGCGGCCUUUCAAGUCUGCUGUUAAAGCGUGGAGCUUAACUCCAUCAUGGCAGUGGAAACUGAUAGGCUUGAGUAUGGUAGGGGCAGAGGGAAUUCCCGGUGUAGCGGUGAAAUGCGUAGAUAUCGGGAAGAACACCAGUGGCGAAGGCGCUCUGCUGGGCCAUUACUGACGCUCAUGGACGAAAGCCAGGGGAGCGAAAGGGAUUAGAUACCCCUGUAGUCCUGGCCGUAAACGAUGAACACUAGGUGUCGGGGGAAUCGACCCCUUCGGUGUCGUAGCUAACGCGUUAAGUGUUCCGCCUGGGGAGUACGCACGCAAGUGUGAAACUCAAAGGAAUUGACGGGGGCCCGCACAAGCGGUGGAGUAUGUGGUUUAAUUCGAUGCAACGCGAAGAACCUUACCAGGGUUUGACAUCCUGCGAACCUCUUAGAAAUUUGAGGGUGCCUUCGGGAAUGCAGUGACAGGUGGUGCAUGGCUGUCGUCAGCUCGUGUCGUGAGAUGUUGGGUUAAGUCCCGCAACGAGCGCAACCCACGUUUUUAGUUGCCAGCAUUUAGUUGGGCACUCUAGAAAGACCGCCGGUGAUAAACCGGAGGAAGGUGUGGAUGACGUCAAGUCAUCAUGCCCCUUACACCCUGGGCUACACACGUACUACAAUGCUACGGACAAAGGGCAGCAAACUCGCGAGAGCUAGCAAAUCCCAUAAACCGUGGCUCAGUUCAGAUCGUAGGCUGCAACUCGCCUACGUGAAGUAGGAAUCGCUAGUAAUCGCAGGUCAGCAUACUGCGGUGAAUACGUUCCCGGGCCUUGUACACACCGCCCGUCACACCAUGGAAGUUGGCCAUGCCCGAAGUCGUUACUCCAACCCUUGUGGAGGAGGACGCCGAAGGUGGGGCUAAUGACUGGGGUGAAGUCGUAACAAGGUAGCCGUACCGGAAGGUGCGGCUG
This 1465-nucleotide ribosomal RNA is filed under the name Prochlorococcus sp. AG-363-B18. RNAcentral's name for it is "bacterial SSU rRNA". It matches the Rfam family "Bacterial small subunit ribosomal RNA". Lineage: Bacteria; Bacillati; Cyanobacteriota; Cyanophyceae; Synechococcales; Prochlorococcaceae. RNAcentral also lists the same sequence under 2 other names. The record is from RNAcentral.